AGGACGAACGCUGGCGGCGUGCUUAACACAUGCAAGUCGAGCGGAAAGGCCCUUCGGGGUACUCGAGCGGCGAACGGGUGAGUAACACGUGAGCAAUCUGCCCUUAGCUCCGGGAUAGCUCCGGGAAACCGGAAUUAAUACCGGAUAUGACUAUGGCCGACAUCAGCCAUGGUGGAAAGUUUUUCGGCUAGGGAUGAGCUCGCGGCCUAUCAGCUAGUUGGUGGGGCAACGGCCCACCAAGGCGACGACGGGUAGCCGGCCUGAGAGGGCGACCGGCCACACUGGGACUGAGACACGGCCCAGACUCCUACGGGAGGCAGCAGUGGGGAAUAUUGCGCAAUGGGCGAAAGCCUGACGCAGCGACGCCGCGUGGGGGAAGAAGGCCUUCGGGUUGUAAACCCCUUUCAGCAGGGACGAAGCGAGAGUGACGGUACCUGCAGAAGAAGCGCCGGCUAACUACGCGCCAGCAGCCGC
RNAcentral lists this ribosomal RNA (474 nucleotides) under uncultured bacterium. Its description in RNAcentral is "SSU rRNA". It matches the Rfam family "Bacterial small subunit ribosomal RNA", at positions 26 to 518 of the family's 1533-position model. The record is from RNAcentral.